GCUCCUAUAGCUCAGUCGGUUAGAGCGUCAGACUCAUAAUCUGCAGGUCACUGGUUCGAGCCCAGUUGGGAGCACUA
Molecule: transfer RNA, 77 nt
Filed under: Sphingobacterium sp. IITKGP-BTPF85
Lineage: Bacteria; Pseudomonadati; Bacteroidota; Sphingobacteriia; Sphingobacteriales; Sphingobacteriaceae
Description: tRNA-Met
Rfam family: tRNA
About the family: Transfer RNA (tRNA) molecules are approximately 80 nucleotides in length. Their secondary structure includes four short double-helical elements and three loops (D, anti-codon, and T loops).
Source: RNAcentral